GGUAACCACAUUUCCCAGUUGACUACUACCGGUAAUAAAAUCAAAUGGAUUCAGUGCUCACAACUCUUCAGUCUUUGGGCUACUUUCCAUUCUUGAAUUUUUAGCUGAAUUCAUCUCUUUGGCUGGAUUUUGUGAAUCGGGCAGCCAUUAGAACCAAAACAGUUCUGAGGAGCUCCCAGGCUGCAAUGUGGUGCGAAAUGUUUUAUGGACAGAAAAUGGAAAUGAGGUGCAGAAAUUGGAGGAAAGUCACGUUUCAGUGUUUUGGUUUUGGUGAAUGCCCACAACAAGGCUAGUGAAGGAAGGAGGCAUAGUAGGAAGCUGUUGGCCAGACGAGCUUUUAGAAGACCCUUGCUACAUAGAGAGGACGUAGAAAAUGUCUUUAUCAUUAGUUGUAUUUCCAGGCUGAGACAAUACAAAAGAUGGACAGCUCUAAGUUGAUUAUCAAGCUUUAAAUAUGUUUCACUUGAUUAAGAACAUUGAAGGUGAGAAUGGAAUUAUGUAGGCUUCACUGAGUAUCCGUAAAGUUGGGAACAAUGAUAUACAACACAGAAAAGAAGCUCCAUAAGAAAACAGCUGCAACUAACCCAUCUGGAAAGAGACCUCAAUCAAAAUGAUACUUAGCGAAAGAAAAAUACUUUCAGUGAUCAAAUUAUUUGUCUGACCAAUGCUUGGUGGAAAGAUUCCACAUUACUAGUUAUUUGUAAUGGGUAAUUGCACAAUAUACUGUAUUGUUCAAUCUGGUGUGAAUGAAAGUGGGG
RNAcentral lists this long non-coding RNA (758 nucleotides) under Homo sapiens (human). RNAcentral describes it as "NRG1 intronic transcript 1". The record is from RNAcentral. Lineage: Eukaryota; Metazoa; Chordata; Mammalia; Primates; Hominidae.